This 465-nucleotide ribosomal RNA is filed under the name uncultured bacterium. Its description in RNAcentral is "partial 16S ribosomal RNA". It matches the Rfam family "Bacterial small subunit ribosomal RNA", at positions 28 to 507 of the family's 1533-position model. The record is from RNAcentral.
GACGAACGCUGGCGGCGUGCUUAACACAUGCAAGUCGAACGGAAAGGCCCUGCUUGCAGGGUACUCGAGUGGCGAACGGUUGAGUAACACGCGGGUGAUCUGCCCUGCACUUCGGGAUAAGCCUGGGAAACUGGGUCUAAUACCGGAUAGGAGCCAUUUUGAGUGUGAUGGUUGGAAAGUUGUUUCGGUGUAGGAUGAGCGCGCGGCCUAUCAGCUUGUUGGUGGGGUAAUGGCCUACCAAGGCGGCGACGGGUAGCCGGACUGGGAGGGUGGACGGCCACAGUGGGACUGGGACAGGGCCCAGACUCCGACGGGUGGGAGCAGUGGGGAAGGUUGCACAAUGGGCGCGAGCCUGAUGCAGCGACAGCGCGGGGGGGAUGGCGGUCUUGGGGUUGUGGACUUCUUUCGCUAGGGCCGAAGCUUUUUGUGACGGUACCUAGAGAAGAAGCUCCGGCUAACUACGUG